This 491-nucleotide ribosomal RNA is filed under the name uncultured bacterium. RNAcentral's name for it is "partial 16S ribosomal RNA". It matches the Rfam family "Bacterial small subunit ribosomal RNA", at positions 26 to 507 of the family's 1533-position model. The record is from RNAcentral.
AGGAUGAACGCUAGCGGCAGGCCUAACACAUGCAAGUCGAGGGGCAUCGCGGUGCAGCAAUGCACUGGCGGCGACCGGCGUACGGGUGCGUAACGCGUAUCGCAACCUGCCCCGCACCGGGGGAUAGCCCGCCGAAAGGCGGAUUAAUACCCCAGUGGUCCCGGGGGCCCGCAGUGGGCAUCCGGGUAAAGCCUUGGCGGUCGGGAUGGGCAUGCGUGCCAUUAGCUGGCUGGUGGGGUAACGGCCCACCAGGGCAACGAUGGCUAGGGGGUCUGAGAGGAUGGUCCCCCCACACUGGUACUGAGACACGGACCAGACUCCUACGGGAGGCAGCAGUGAGGAAUAUUGGUCAAUGGGCGGAAGCCUGAACCAGCCAUGCCGCGUGCGGGAUGAAGGCCCUACGGGUUGUAAACCGCUUUUCCCCGGGAAGAAUAAGCCCCCCGCGGGGGGUGAUGCCGGUACCGGGGGAAUAAGGAUCGGCUAACUCCGUG